UUAGAGUUUGAUCCUGGCUCAGAAUGAACGUGGCGGCGUGGAUUAGGCAUGCAAGUCGUGCGAGAAGUUUCCUUCGGGAGACGGACAGCGGCGAAAGGGAGAGGAAUACGUAGAAAUCUACCCUCGGGUCUGGGAUAGCGUCGGGAAACUGGCGGUAAUACCAGAUAACAUCUUCGGAUCAAAGGUGUGAUUCCGCCUGAGGAUGAGUCUACGUCCUAUUAGCUAGUUGGCGGGGUAAUGGCCCACCAAGGCGACGAUGGGUAGCGGGUGUGAGAGCAUGACCCGCCUCACUGGGACUGAGACACUGCCCAGACACCUACGGGUGGCUGCAGUCGAGAAUCUUUGUCAAUGGACGAAAGUCUGAACAAGCGACGCCGCGUGCGGGAUGAAGGCCUUCGGGUUGUAAACCGCUGUCGUAGGGGAACAAAUGUAAGGGGUACUCCCCUUUACUUGAGGUCCUAG
RNAcentral lists this ribosomal RNA (462 nucleotides) under uncultured bacterium. RNAcentral describes it as "bacterial SSU rRNA". It matches the Rfam family "Bacterial small subunit ribosomal RNA", at positions 1 to 483 of the family's 1533-position model. The record is from RNAcentral.